This 258-nucleotide ribosomal RNA is filed under the name uncultured bacterium. Its description in RNAcentral is "partial 16S ribosomal RNA". It matches the Rfam family "Bacterial small subunit ribosomal RNA", at positions 99 to 355 of the family's 1533-position model. The record is from RNAcentral.
CGGACGGUGAGUAACGCGGUGGGAACCUCGCCCUGUACCGGGGGAUAGCAGCCGGAAACGGCUGAUAAUACCGCAUAAGCGCACGAAUGUCGCAUGACAUGGUGUGAAAAACUCCGGUGGUAUAGGAUGGACCCGCGUCUGAUUAGCCUGUUGGUGGGGUAAAAGCCUACCAAAGCGAAGAUCAGUAGCCGAGUUGAGAGACUGACCGGCCACAUUGGGACUGAGACACGGCCCAGACUCCUACGGGAGGCAGCAGCU